RNAcentral lists this ribosomal RNA (253 nucleotides) under uncultured bacterium. RNAcentral's name for it is "partial 16S ribosomal RNA". It matches the Rfam family "Bacterial small subunit ribosomal RNA", at positions 524 to 776 of the family's 1533-position model. The record is from RNAcentral.
UACGGGGGGGGUAAGCGUUGUUCGGAAUUACUGGGCGUAAAGGGCUCGUAGGCGGCCAACUAAGUCAGACGUGAAAUCCCUCAGCUUAACUGGGGAACUGCGUCUGAUACUGGAUGGCUUGGAUUCGGGAGAGGAAUGCGGAAUUCCAGGUGUAGCGGUGAAAUGCGCAGAUAUCAGGAGGAACACCGAUGGCGAAGGCAGUUCUCUGGGCCGUAACUGACGCUGAGGAGCGAAAGCGUGGGGAGCGAACAGG